GCCGUGAUCGUCUAGUGGUUAGGACAUUGCGUUUGUGGCCGCAAUAACCCAGGUUCGAAUCCUGGGUCACGGCA
Molecule: transfer RNA, 74 nt
Filed under: Schistocerca americana (American grasshopper)
Lineage: Eukaryota; Metazoa; Arthropoda; Insecta; Orthoptera; Acrididae
Description: tRNA-Thr
Rfam family: tRNA
About the family: Transfer RNA (tRNA) molecules are approximately 80 nucleotides in length. Their secondary structure includes four short double-helical elements and three loops (D, anti-codon, and T loops).
Source: RNAcentral